AGAAUCAACGCUGGCGGCGUGCCUAACACAUGCAAGUCGCACGAGAAAGGGACUUCGGUCCUGAGUAAAGUGGCGCACGGGUGAGUAACACGUGAAUAAUCUACCUCCGAGUGGGAAUAACUGAGAGAAAUCUUAGCUAAUACCGCAUAACACUUACGAGUCAAAGCAGCAAUGCGCUUGGAGAGGAGUUCGCGGCAGAUUAGUUAGUUGGCGGGGUAAUGGCCCACCAAGACGAUGAUCUGUA
This 244-nucleotide ribosomal RNA is filed under the name uncultured bacterium. RNAcentral describes it as "partial small subunit ribosomal RNA". It matches the Rfam family "Bacterial small subunit ribosomal RNA", at positions 26 to 285 of the family's 1533-position model. The record is from RNAcentral.